Molecule: transfer RNA, 84 nt
Filed under: Clostridia bacterium
Lineage: Bacteria; Bacillati; Bacillota; Clostridia
Description: tRNA-Leu
Rfam family: tRNA
About the family: Transfer RNA (tRNA) molecules are approximately 80 nucleotides in length. Their secondary structure includes four short double-helical elements and three loops (D, anti-codon, and T loops).
Source: RNAcentral
GCGGGCGUGGCGGAAUGGCAGACGCGCCAGACUUAGGAUCUGGUGCCAAAUGGCGUAAGAGUUCGAGUCUCUUCGCCCGCACCA